RNAcentral lists this ribosomal RNA (468 nucleotides) under uncultured bacterium. RNAcentral's name for it is "partial 16S ribosomal RNA". It matches the Rfam family "Bacterial small subunit ribosomal RNA", at positions 28 to 507 of the family's 1533-position model. The record is from RNAcentral.
GACGAACGCUGGCGGCGUGCUUAACACAUGCAAGUCGAACGGAAAGGCCCUGCUUUUGUGGGGUGCUCGAGUGGCGAACGGGUGAGUAACACGUGAGUAACCUGCCCUUGACUUUGGGAUAACUUCAGGAAACUGGGGCUAAUACCGGAUAGGAGCUCCUGCUGCAUGGUGGGGGUUGGAAAGUUUCGGCGGUUGGGGAUGGACUCGCGGCUUAUCAGCUUGUUGGUGGGGUAGUGGCUUACCAAGGCUUUGACGGGUAGCCGGCCUGGGAGGGGGACCGGCCACAAUGGGACUGAGAUACGGCCCAGAUUCCUACGGGAGGCAGCAGUGGGGAAUAUUGCACAAUGGGCGGAAGCCUGAUGCAGCAACGCCGCGUGCUGGAUGACGGCCUUCGGGUUGUAAACCGCUUUCGCCUGUGACGAAGCGUGAGUGACGGUAAUGGGUAAAGAAGCACCGGCUAACUACGUG